Molecule: long non-coding RNA, 5764 nt
Filed under: Sus scrofa (pig)
Lineage: Eukaryota; Metazoa; Chordata; Mammalia; Artiodactyla; Suidae
Description: lncRNA (ENSSSCG00000054445.1)
Source: RNAcentral
CUAGUUGUUUUUUUUUUUUUUUUUCUCCUAUUGCCCGAUUCUUUAUAUUCUUGUUUUCCUUUAUGAGAGAGUGUGUCUCAACUUGGCAUUCUAAAUUCUAACCUUUCUCUCAAUGACCACCCCCGCACCUUUUUGGCUCAGACCUUAACUUGUAAUACUUUCUUGAAAGAAAGUAUUUUUUCUGGUCAUUCCUCUUAUUUCAUGCAGACUGUCUAAUUUCUGUGAAGUAUUUAUAGCAGUUUUUCCUUAAGUUUUCUUUGGCCUCUCAGUAUUAUCUCAACAUUUUUUGUUUUCUAAAAAUGAUAUCUUGUCUUGGCCUUUGUCUUUAAUAUCAACAGCCCCCCUCAGACCUGCAUGAUGCUGGUCUGUUCACGGCGGUGCAGGAAUGAGGCCCAAAAAGGCCAACUGGGGGCUCCUUGUGGUUUUGCUGGUGGGCUUCACCAUGGGGUCGCAGGCUGGCGACCCUGCUCCUUGGCUGGUCAACUGUCGACUUUUCCCUGUGAGGCUGAUCUGCUUCUUCUUUCUGCUGGUAAAUGAGGAGAACGGCGGGUGCUGAGAAUCAGAGACGUGGAGGGAAGGCUGGUGGGCAGGUGGUCUUUUGGAGACGUUCGUGAGGGAAGGUCUGCCGCCCGGGGUUUCCAGGAACCUGGAUGAAAGGUGAGCAGAGGUGGGGGGGGUUGUAUCUGAAGGUUGGAACAACAACCAAAAAAAGGCAAUUCAGCAGGUGCUUUGAAAAGGCAGCCAAUGUCCCCCAGGGAAGUGAAUUCUCUCUGUGGAUGUUUUUCCUCCUGCCUGCUCUUUACUGUGCCCCAUACGGGCAUCUUUUGCCCAUGUUUCUUCCUUUCUGGACCUUUCUUUUCCCUAAAGGUGCAGGCCUGGCAUUUUGUUGGCUGAGCCGUCUUCUAGAUCUGUGUUCCUUAAACUUUAAUGGGCGUAAGAAUUAUAGCUUCAAAAUGCAGAUUCUGAUUCAGAGGCCUGUGAUUCUGCAUUUCCAGGAGGUGCCCACGCGGUAUGGAUGCUGGUUCAUGGGGCUCUGGAAAGGAGGCAUGAGGACUUGGAAAAGCCCAGCGGGCAGGGCCUUUCAUCCCAGAGGCCCCCUCCAGCCCCAGCUCUCCUCCAGCUUCCCUCUCACCCCCUGCCCUCCUGCAGGCUUGGGCUGACGUCCGCUGGCUUCUCUUCAAGGCCUCAUUUCCUGGAACUGUCUGGGUCAAGGUCUGGUUGCAGGAGAGGGGCUCCACAAGCCCCCACGACAGGGAUGGCUGUCCUGGUCCUCUGCUGCUCCCUGGGGGGGCCCCCGUGACCAGGCAGGGCCAUCCGUCUGCACACAGGCACCCAACCUCCUACCUGCCCCAGUGCUUUCUCAUGCUUCUAGUUAGUCCUCAUGGCCCGUGGGGGUUCAGUUGGGCAAACAGAGAGAAAGAAAUGGUUGGCCUGUUAUGUACGCCAAAGCCACGCAAACCCCAAGUCCAAGGCUUAGGUAGAUGUUCAUCAGGUUUCUAUUAUUUUUUACUAAAUUUAAUUUUUUUGAAUACCAGCUUUCUUUUGACACAGUAAACCAGCAGCAUCUAAUCACCAAACAGAGCAAACAAAAGAAGGCUUUUGUUUGCUUUACAUAAAGAGACGGGGCAGGAAACCCAAGUGACCUAAUGUGAGUUUUCAGAAUUAGCAUCCGCUGUUUUCAUUUGCCUAAUGUAAUCCCACUUCUGCGUAUUCAGUGGGGAUUUCAUUUGUCUGAUGUGGUUUCAUAAGAAGCAAGAGGAGGGGUCCAAGGAGCAAAAGGAAAACCUAGCUUGUUCUUAAUAUCCCACUUUGAUGUGUUUGCAAUGAAUGUAAUUAGGUUUUCUUUUUAAAUGCCUUUUUCUCUUUUUCUCAAAAAGCUAAAGUCAACUUGAGAACGUGGACGUUGUCUGGCCUGGAUCGGUUCAGAGUGGCUUCUUUCUGGAUGUCACAGUGGGCUAGGAUGUAUCUACCUUCUGCUUCCCUGGGGCACCCCUGUGAUGUCCUGGAUCUUUGCCUUGCUGUCAUCAAUGGGGUCACCCCGUGCAACGUCCAGAAGGACGUCUCAUUAAGUAUAAGUGAAUCCCAGGAAUGAGCUCUCGGCUUGGUUUUACAUCCUGCACAACCUCCUGCCCAACCCCCAACAGACGGAUUCUAAAGGGAAAUCCAGUCGCAUCCACAAAAACAGCCCGUGUACACUGGGGAACCCAGAAGCAUCCCUGACGUUGGCCGUGACUCCGCCCCUCUCCCUCUAAUUGCGGAGGACGGCGGGGAGGGACCUGGGGGAAACGGAUGUGUAAUAAUGGGCGUGCGGGCUUCCUCACUGUUAUCUGGUACAGUAUUAACGUCGCCUCAUGUGUCUUGAGUCUUUGCCCGACUGGGUUUUCUCAGCAGGGGGGAUGGGAAGGCGGACAGGAUCUUGAAGUGCCUGGCUGGACCUGGGCGCUGGAAGCAGCCAUAAAUGGGGACAUUUGCUUGGCUCACUGGCUAAUGAGUGAAAGAUCGCCAAUAGUAAUAAGGUUUCAGCGGAAUUUCCUUAAUGAUUGGCACAGUUCAUUAAGAGAAGAAACACAAGACGGCGUCCCCUUGGGAGGGGCUGGGGGAUGGGUUGGUUGUCGGAUCUCGGAGGUGGGGGCCCUGACUCCCAGGAAUGCGGCUUUCGCACAGUUCGGUGUUUUGAAGGAAGACAGAGCCCGGCUGCAGUUGAGUAAUUUCGGCUAAUUGAGAUUUGCAUGGGUCAAAGACCGGGGUCCUGCUGCCGUUAAGGGGGGUGGCAUCCGCUAAGGGCAAUGGCAUCUGUUCUGGAUGCCUCGGGGAGAGCGGCCCGUGUGCGCCUCGGGAAGGUGAUGAGGGGCUCCUCCCCCACAAAGAAGAGCUCUCCUGGGACAGGGCCUAUCCCUGGUCCCGGGGUGGGCCGCAUGGUCGCUCGUUGGCCCGAGUGUGGUCACUUCUAAUAGGUCUCCGUUGCCCCCAUCCCUGGGAGUGAGACCUAAUGAGGCAUCUCCAGCCCCUGUGUGGUGCGUCUACCGGGGGCGCGGCUUCACACGACGUGCUUCUGGGCCGCAGCGAGGCUCACCCUUCCGCGACGGGGUGUGAGAAAGGCUGACCCCUGUGCUGAGAGUGGAGAGUAUCUGUCUCCAAUGGAGAAUCCACUUCUUUAACCCCCCUCCAUCUGGCUGCAAGCCCCUCCCAGCCUACCCCUGUGCUGGGAAACUGACCAUGUCCUUAGAGAUGCUCGGACCCUAAAGCGGGGCUGAGGUAGCAGCAGGGGUGCUGCCAAGCGCUGUGGCACCUGUGAGCAUGUUGGGAAAAGGCACUGCCCGUGGUGUACGGUUUGGCGAGCUGAGUGCAGGCUGGAUUCCGGUACUUCUGGUUACUGUGGCCAGGCAUCUGAGUGUAGAACGGCCAUCAAACAGGUGUGGUCAGUAGCCAUGGAUACCAGGUUGGAAAUGGCAUCAAAGUGUAGAAAGGUCCUUAGAGGCAGGAACCAGCAUUCCUCCUUUGAGAUGCCCAUUGUCCCUGCCCCCGUUCCCUUCUGCUGCUAUGGCCAUAGUUCUGUGCCCCUUAGGUGUCUACACAAGCUCUGGCUUCCUGGGUGGGAGGCUGCGGGGCCCCAGGACCAGUUUCUGGGAGAAGCCACGGGCCUCUUGCUCUGUCGGGAGGACCCACACCUCUCUCCGCCGAUGAGCUGGCCCCCGAGGCACUCCCUAUCUCCCUCCAUCUUUCUGGAUCUCAGCCUAAUUCCAUCCACAAAUUUAGGCUUUAUCAAAGACAGGAGAAACUACGGCUCUAGGUGGUCCAUGUCCUAAAACCCUCCCCGAGGCAAAACAAUAUGUGGCUACCAAUUAGAAACAGAAAGGAAGGCAACACAAGAGAAAGCGCACACAAAUCUUUCCACGUGUGCUCCUGCUAUGUUGACCCCCAACACCCAAUUUCCCUGAAGGAAUGCUGGGGACACCGGGUGCCCCCUCGAGACCAAGGGGCAGACUUGCGAGGUGCUCUGGCUUCUCACAGGCUUCGAAGGGCCCUUGUUGGUGGCCCGCACCUUCUUGAGCUGGCCGGGGAGACACAGUCCUGGGUAAAAUUGCAUCCUUCUCCAACAAAGUUGUUAAUAUUGUCUCUCAGAAAAUUUCUUGGAGGCCCAGUUGUGGCUCAGUGGGUUAAGAACCCGACACAGUGUCAGUGAGGAUGCGGGUUCCAUCCCUGGCCUCACUCAGUGGGUUAAGGAACCAGUGUGGCCAUAUGUGGCAUGGGUCACAGACAUGGCUCGAUCUGGCAUUGCUGUGGCGGUGGUGUAGGCCGGCAGCUGCAGCUCCAAUUCAACUCCUAGCCUGAGAGCUUUCAUAUGCCACAGGUGUGGACCUAAAAGUAAAUAAAUAGAAAUAAAAAUGUCUUAGGAUGGGUCGGGCUAGUUGUGUGAUGGAAGUACCAUCUGGGACUCCUUCCAUAAUGCACCAAGAGCUGCAUUCUUGUUAGAGUGAGGGGAAAGAGGGAGGGGGUGUAGAACAUGGCUUUACAGUUGACCUGUGUGACCUUGGGCAGAUGCCUCUGCAAAGAGCAGGCUGGGCUGCAGUGGGGGUGAUUUCUUGGGUACCCCUCACCAUUGCUUUCCAUAAAAAUGCCAUCACAGAAACUCACCCUGAGUUAAGGGGAAGAGCUCUUAAGGCGAAUAAAUACUUGCUUUUCCCGUCUCCGUUUUUCUCAUUAUUUCUCCAUCAUGUGAGUCCGUUACUUCUGUUCCUCUCUUUUACUCUCUGGUUCGCACUUCCUGCUUCUUCCACUCAUUUUUGCUGUGGUUUCCUCCAUCGUUUCUCCCUCUUUGUCAUUCCCUGAACGUUUGUUAUGAUCUGUAUUUAUUGAGUUAGGUUUUAUAAGCUCUGACCUUCAAUGCGGCCACAUUGAAUGUUUUACAAAGCCAUCCCAACCCAGAAAGAACAGUCCCACUGACAUUUGAAAUUGCUUUUAGAACUGUACCUAAGCCUCAAAGCUGCUUUUCUCAGGGGACCUCGGGAGAGCAAGGUCUCCCCCCCUGCACUAAAACUAGCCCGCAGUGGCAACGACCCUGUGGCCUUGUUCGCCUCCAACAAGGAUGUUAGUGGGAGCUGGUGCGCUGGUGGAGGACGAGGAGGCUCUGCCGAAAUACCUCUCUGCCUUGGUCUUCGAUGGGAGUUGCAAAGAGAUGGACAUGUUUUGAAAAUAAUUCCAGGCUGAAAUGUCGCUGUGAUUACACAUAUGUUCGUAGGUAGAUGAGAGUCAAUUCAAGGUCAUUAAAACAUUAGGCUGUUCGGGAAGAUGAGCUCAGCUCACUCAGAAUUUCAGGUCUAGCAGGUUAGCUUUUUGUAGGUCCAAGAAAAUGCUCCGCUUGGCACCCAGCCGCCUUGGCUGCCCUGCAGAAACUCUGUGCCUUUGAUACUCAGUGAAAAAUGCACAUCUGGAAUGAAAUCAGACCUCAGCCCUCGCAAGCUUCUGCUCCUUGGUAUUUAAUUAUUAUGACUUGGAUGAUGUGACUCAGGGUAAAGACUUUAUUUUUAGCAAUGAUUAGAACUGCUCUGGAUGAGGAGAUCAGGAAUGCUGUUUAUUUUUUUUUAAUUGGCGCAUGUGACUAAAUAUAUUUUUCAACUCUUGAAUGAACAAAUCUGACACUUAAGAAAACACAUUAAAAACGGGCGUUUUUUAGACUGCUUUGGGGGGUUUCCAUAUCUGUCUUCUGAUGUUCUGGUGAAUCGUCGUUGAAAUAACUCUUUUAAAUAGUUUAAAUACGCUUUAU